GUUAAUGCAGUAUAAAAUGCAACGGAUAGAGUUAGGGACAGAUCUUUGGCUGGAGUAAAUGAAUUUGACUUUGAAUACAUUUUGCUAACUUAAAUGGUGUUAACUUGAUUUAUGUGAGCUGAGGAGUUAACCCUUAUGCACUCUGCUUACUUUACUUCUGUGCCGAGACAUCAAAAUGACUGUUGGGGUGCUUCUGAACAUUUCUGAUUUAUUACAGGUCUCUACCCACAUUGCCUAUGGAUUUCUUUGGCUCAAGAAGUAUAUUUUUAUUUGCUGCUGCAGAAACAUUUUAAAUGCUAAAAUCUUAAUUCUAGAUAGUAUGUAAUAUUUUGUUUUGGACUAGCAGUUUCUUCUGCUUUAUUUUUCCAUUAUUUGACUAUUUUAGGAUGUUUACUAUCUCUCCCAGAUUUCUGUUCCCAUCUGCAGAUCUUUCUAUCACAAUGAUGAACCUGGCAAUUUCUGGUAAAUACAAGACUACUAAUUUUAUCUUGUCUUGGCCUUGAGUGAAAUCCUAUACUUCCUUGUUCCUGAAUAAAAAAUGCACGAUAAAUGAAUUGUACAGGGAGCACUGAAGGGCUACUGAUGACCUAUAGUUAUGUACAGUGUGUAACUCAUCCUUUUACCCAAUUAGGAUGAUCAGAACUUUUCUUUCUGUUGCUGAAAACCUGAGUGUGCUUCAGAGCCUGGAAGGGAGCAGAACAUCCUUGGUGUGUGCUCAGCUGCCUGGAGGUGCCCUCUCAGGAGUUAACAGCAGGAAGAUCUCCGAGAUACCAAACUGCCUGAGCACAGAUAGGCCCUGGGAGCUGCUGUGGCCUGGCCCUGGCUCUGACACCAGUUUUUCAUGACUUUGCUGGAAACAAGGAAAAUGUCUAGGAUUUCUGUGCUGCUCAACUCUCUGGAGUCUAUCAGCAGCAACUCCACCAAUUGGGCUUGGAACCAAGAGUUUUAUGGAACAACUAUUUGGAGGUGUUUUCAAGCAAGGUGAGAAAAUAGCCCAGGUUGUGUAAGCUGUUCUAUUAUUUAGAUUUUUUCUGUUGUAUAAAUAAAUAAUUAAUAAUAAUAAUAAUGUCAAUAAAUUACAAUCCAGGUGAUAUUGCAGC
Motacilla alba alba is the source of this 1100-nucleotide long non-coding RNA. RefSeq lists it as uncharacterized. The record is from RefSeq and is a predicted model, not a curated record. The transcript is spliced from 5 exons. Lineage: Eukaryota; Metazoa; Chordata; Aves; Passeriformes; Motacillidae.